Pelobates cultripes (western spadefoot toad) is the source of this 721-nucleotide non-coding RNA. The record is from the annotation of a GenBank genome assembly. Lineage: Eukaryota; Metazoa; Chordata; Amphibia; Anura; Pelobatidae.
CAAUGUUGCAGGAGCCAGGGACUCCAGGAACCAUAACCAUUUCAAUCAGUUUAGGUGGUUAUGGUGCCAAGAGGGUUCCUUUAUUGACUUUUGUUCAGCUCUAAAACCUGUUCAUUGAGUAUUAUCUCAGUAUCUUUUUUGCCUUUUUGCCCUGUGAAUCUUAACCCUUUCCGCCCUCUGAAUAUUACCCCGUUUUGAUCACUUUUCUUAUAGUAAGUGCUAGGGUGUGUUUUUUAAUUAAGGUGGUGUGCCGGAGUUAAUUUAUGCAGCAGUCAAUCUGCAUGUCCACUCCUUUCUCCCCUUACCCAAGGCUCUAUGCAAAACAAAUAGUAUUUAAAUGCAUUCCCUUGAUCAUAAACAACAAUUCCAAUACAUAACAGAGCUAUUCUGUUAUCUAUGCUAUGUCAACAAACUUUGCCUUUCCUCCACCCUACUCUUACGUGUCCAUAGUUCUUUUCCUCUAGACAUGAGUGUUAAAUUGGGUUAAAGUGCGUCUUUCACUUUUCUCCAACCAGUCCCAAGGCAGUGGAGCAAGACCUGAGGGACUCCAUUCUGGAAUCCCAACAUCUUCAGGUAUCUCCAGACCCAAUCCCUGUAGAAAUAGCCUUGGGUCGGUGCUUGGUAGCAGGAUGGAUGGCCGUCUUCUCUUGAAAAUCAAGAUCUUAAUGGGCAUCCCCAAUCAAAUUUCCUGUUGUGAGAUCUAAGCAAAUUUUUUAUUGGC